This is a long non-coding RNA of Marmota monax (woodchuck), 11984 nucleotides long. RefSeq lists it as uncharacterized. NCBI's taxonomy places the organism in Eukaryota, Metazoa, Chordata, Mammalia, Rodentia, Sciuridae. The transcript has 6 exons. The record is from RefSeq and is a predicted model, not a curated record.
CUCCACUGAGGUUGAUCAAGUGAAUUCUGUGGGAAUGUGUUUGUUUUAAAUAUUCUAUUAGUUGUUGAUGGACUUUUAUUUAUUUAUAUGCGGUGCUGAGGAUUGAACCCAGUGCCUCACACAUCCUAGGCAAGCGCUCUGCCACUGAGCCACAACCCCAGCCCCAGCCCCAAGGGAAUGUGUGUUUGAAGUUGAGUUCAGGUAGAGCUGAGCUUUAGGACUUCAGGUCUUCCCACAAGGCAGCCUGCGUGUGUGCAUAGUACUGGCAUAUCCCCCCGUGCCGUGCAGGAAUGGGAGGCAGGUCAUGGAACAAAUGUUCCCAAAACGUGGACUGGUCCACACCCUCCAGCUUUACGGAGAAUAAUGGUGGUUUCUUCCAGUUAGAAGAUAAGGGGAUGGUAGAAGAGUUGAGGGAGAUGGCAGGCUAAGCAGAGCCCUGUUGACACAGGACUCCAGAACGCAGAGAUUCUGAUUCUGAAACAGGUUGGAAAUAGAGACAGCAGUAUUUGAAAACAGCUAACCCUUACUUAAGUGACUUAGUGGAGAGGCAGUGUGUAAAGGAAAACAGAGCUCCAUAAAUGUAAUUAUUAGUAGUACUUGUGGUGGUUUCUUAAUGAAGGGUUCUAUUGUUAGGAAAAAGCAUAAUUACCUAGAAAAAUAUGACGCUGGGAUAUUUUAAAUAUCUCCUGGGGAUGUUGACCAUUGAAACAGGAGACUGUCUUCUAAUCAAGCCAGUACCAUCUCAGCAUCAUCAGAAUAAACCAUUUUCCUACCCUGGCUUUGUAUACUCCGACUAGGAAGGGUUGGCAAUUGACUGCUCCUCUUGGGCACUAGGUAGGAAGGAGAGUCUCCUGGGUCCCUCCUUGUCUGACUUAGUCCCAAGACCCCAGAAGGAACAUAAAUGUCUCCAUGGUAACUAGAAUAAGCUGCUAGGGGGAGCAGAGCCAGGCGCUCAGGUCUAGGUAGAGGAUUGUGAGUAAUAAAGUUGGAGCUGUUUCAAGACAGCCUUUGUUCUCAGGCUGGACUCCAGCCUCUACCUGACUCAGAGCCAUAGGAAAAGGAAACUGCAGGUUUCCAUGGCCCCAAAUAAACACAGCCUGCUCAGGCCAUCUGGUGGCCUGGAUUCUAGGAGAAGUGAAGGGAGAGAGAAGAAUGAAACAAGCUGCCCUGGGGCUCGGGGGAAGCAGCUGGUAAGCUCCUUUCACCUGCUGCCACAGGGAACCAUCCAGAAUGAGGCCCUUUUGGAGAAAAUGGGCCAAGAAUGAGGAAGAAGAAAUAAGGAUAGGUAGAAAGGAGACCAUCAGAAAAGGGGGAAAAAAUCCCCACUUGGGUGUGGUUGCAGAUGUCUGUAAACUCAGCUACUGGGAGGCUCAGGCAGGAGGAUAAGGCAGUUUGAAGUCAGCCUCCGCAACUUAGACCAUGUAUCAAAAUUUUAAAGGCAGUUGGUGGUAUAGCUCAGUGGCAGAGUGUCCCUCGGUUUUCAGUCCUUAGUAUCACAGAAAAAAAGAAAAGAAAGUGUAACUUUAAGAAACUCCAUGAACACCCUUAUCUUUGCUCCCCAGGCUGGUUUUCCUCCAGACCUAAAUUCCUAAAAGGCCCCUGGAUCUUAAGAGUAUUGUGAGUCCAGUUAAUUAAUGCCAAUAUACAUUGCUUGCUUACACAACAUUUUCUUUAGCCCAGGGAGAAAUAAUGGGUAUGUUUCAAAUGUUAUCUAUUAACUAGAUAAUGUCAACCUAGAGAUCCUGAAAAGAACCAGAUCACCAUGACCUACCCUGUGCUCCAUGGUUAAAAGAAUUGAGCUCACCAGACAUACCUCUUCUCUUUACUCUUUACAAAAUUUCCUUUAAAAAAAAAAGUGGGGCUGGGGUUGUAGCCCAGUGGUAGAGAGCUUGCCUAGUGUAUGUGAGGCCCUGAGUUUGAUCCUCAGCACCACAUAAAGAUAAAUAAAUAAAAUAAAGGUAUUGUAUCCAUCUACAACUUCAAAAAAUAUUUUUAAAAAGAGUGCUGCAGAGUGCAGUGGCACACACCUGUAAUCCCAGUGACUCAGAAGGAUCACAAAUUCAAAGCCAGCCUCAACAACUUAUUGAGACUCUGUCUUACAAUAAAAAAUAAAAAGGGCUGGGGAGGUGGUAAAGCACCCCUGGGUUUAAUCCCCAGUACCACACUCUGUGCCUUUGAGUGUGCUUUCCUGAAUAAAUUUGUGAUUGUGCCUUUUUCUAAUGUAUCCUGAAUUUUUUUUUCUGCAAAGUAUGUCAAGAGCCUGCAGGGACCAAGUUGAGGUCUCCUCUCUUCUGGGCGAACUUCUGAGACUUCCAUUUGGUGACAAGAGGGACCACCGGUUUCCCAAGAAAAGCAGCCCUGGGGUAGAAAAUCCAGCUCCACUGGACCCUUUUCCUUUCUUCCCUGAGGGGAUGGACAGCGCACAGCAUGAGUGAGUGGGCAGAACUGCUGCCUUCUUUCUGGAAGCUACUUCCUUUGCCACCACCACUUGGCUCCCUGGUCCCUGAAAACAGCCAGGAUUUGCAGGCAGGGCUGAGACAGGGCUGGCUGGCUGAUUUCCUCACUGCAGUGGCUCAGUGUAUUUGGGUUGGCAGUGGGAAGAUUGCCAGAUCAGGGAAGAAGAGAGCCUGAGAAACGUGACACGGUGUCAUGAUGGUGAAAAGGCCACCAUGAGAUUUUUUUUUUUUUUUUUUUUGGUACUGGGGUUGAACUCAGACAAUGCAGGCCCCCAGGUGGGGAAAGAGGGGGAAAGGCAGGUUAAAAGCCAAGGAGAGAAGGUAGCUGGAUACAGGCCUCGAACAGCUUCCUUUGCUUCCCACAUGAUGGCUCUUUGUGUGAGCUAUAAUGUGCCCUCAUGCCACUGGAGACAGGUGACAACAGGAUGGGAAAUCCUGGAGCCCCUGCAGGCUGCCCAUGUAAACCAUCCAUGCUGUUCAACUGAUGUAGGCACCAGUUUGGGACCCAGCUCUGGGCUCCCUUACCAUACCUUCCUCCCUCCUUAAGAGCAGUGAGCAAAAGCUUGCUCUUUACCCACGGCCCCUGCUGGUCCCUGUGUCUACUCCCAAAGAAGACUUUGGAAGCUUUUCCACAGAUGCAGUUCAUGGGCCACAGAGCUGCAUUUUUUCUCUAUUUGAAAAUGGGAGAGUGGAGAAGAUGGCAAGAAAAUGAACCCUAAAACGCCCAGUACAUUUUCUUCUCCAAUUCUGGAGUCACCCAUGCCACAGACAGUACUGGACUGCAAGAGGGACCAGCAGGAUCUGCAGGGCAGGGGGCAAUCUACCGUGUGUGGGGGUGCAAGGUGGCUGGGUGGCGUACACAGCAUGAGGUAACAGCAGAUUUCCCAAGGUGCUCCUCUUACCCAAACCUUCAGGUAUGUUUCCAGGCCUCAGAUAUCUGAGUUUGGGCAGCAAUUCUCAAGUUCCAGGAGGUCAUUACCAGAUUUGAAGAGGACAGUGUGGGCAUGGGAACUUCUAAAAAGGACACAUGCUAUCACUGUGCAUUGAAGAAAGAGAAAACCCAUGGACUGAUUACACCUUCCACACCGGAGCACAGCGGCAUGACUGGUGACACUGGCUCUCGAUGAACAUGGAGAUGCUAUUUAGAGAUGUUUGGAUGCUGAUCACAGAGAGGAGACGCUGGUCGGCGGCUACAGAGCUGGGGAGCAAACAGGCCAGAGCUUACCCCUUCCCCCAGAUGACAGAGACAUACGGAGGGCUAGGAACUGCCCAGCCCCAAAAGACAAAAGGUUCCAAGUUGCACAAACAGAAGACCAGCCGCCAGCUCACAUCACAGUGCCGCCCAGAACAAGGUUUGAGGGAUGUCAGGUAUGCUUGUUAAGAAACCCCUUUACCCAUUAGAAAUAAAUAAGGCAUGAAGGUUCCCGCUGGGCUCCCAGCACAGAAGCCAGAGCCACCGCCUUCCACUGGAUUGUAUGGCUCCUUCAAUUUCUAGGGUCUCAGGAAGGAUGACUGAAGAACAAGAAACCCUGAAGGACUGCUGAGGACAAGCUGGGGACCUGGGCAUCUCUUAGCUGAAACUUGACUAAGACUCUGAAGUCUUAAACCAAAAGAUUGAACCUCUGACCCAGCUGGGGCUUCAAAUACCCUCCACAAAGUUGGGAGGUCCCUCCAUGAGCUGUCCCGGGAGAUGGGCCGCGAGGUCUGCACGCCGGUGUGCCGCACACCAGCCCCGUGUUGCCGGCACUUGCUCAGCAGCUCCUCGUACUUCUCCAGCAGCGCGUGAUACUGCUCAUCCACCUCCCGCAGGAUGGACAUGCCCCGCCGGCGCACGCUGUUGGCGUGCAGCGUGAGGUUGCCUGCGUGCCUGCUGGCUGGGUCUUUGGCCACAAUGGCAUUGAGAGCCGUGUCGCUGCAGCUCUUACGCACCGCGUGGCCGGGGGAGGCAGCAGGUGAGGAGACACCGUCCUGGGCACCAGAGUCAUCUCCGAUGCCCGGCUGGGGAUCGUCAGAUUCAGGGGCCUGGGUGAGGGGUGCCAGCAAGGCCUCAGCCAGGUGGUCAUCCCGGCCCAGCAGGUAGGUCUUGGCUUGUUUCAUCUGCUGCAGCUCCAGCAGCUCGGCCUCCAGCUCCUGCACGCGCAGGCGGCAGCCCUCCAUCUCACACAGCUGCCGCUCCAGCUCGGUGUACUCCUGCAGCACCGCAGUGUACUCGCGCUCUGCCCGCUCCUUGCGCUGCCGCUCCUGGCUCACCUGGGAACGCAGCACUCCCACCAAGGUCUGCAGCCUCUCGUUCUCCUGCUCCAGGGGCCGAGGGCCCAGCUCCAGGGAGGAGCUGUGCAGGCGAAAGGCAUCCUCGCACCUGGGAGAGGAGUGAGGGUAGGUGGUCAUCUCCAAAGCUCCCAAGCCCAGGCUCAGACACUUACACCUUGCUUCUGCCUGGGCUGUCUCUGCUGUCUGCUGCUGCCCACCCUACUCUACCAUCCCCCCGGGGGUGGGGGGGUGGGGCACCACUACGGACAGCCUCAGCCAGGGCCCCUGCUCUCCUAAGCCCAGCAAAGGGAGGCACCCAGCAAGAUGCAAAGUGUGUGGCCAGGGGCCUCCUCAGGCUUUUUCCUCUGUUGGUGCCAGCCAGGUAGUAAUCCAUCUCCCUUCCCCUGGCCCCUCAGCCGCUCUGUUGCAACCCUGGGGUGCUGCGGUUUUCAUAACCUUGCUCUUCUUUAUUAAACGCCCCCUCCAUUACUCUGUGCAAAGACCAUUACUGAAACACACACUAAACACGCAGUCUGUUCCCUGCCCCACCUCUGGUGCUGGGGAUGGAACCCAGGGCAUUUCCAGUGGUAGGCAAGUAAGUGCUCCACCACUGAGCUACACACCAGCCCUGUAUUCUUUUUUUUUUUUUCUUGUGGCACAGGGGAGUGAACUCGGGGCGCUGGACCACUUAGCUAUAUCCCUAGCCCUAUUUUUGUAUUUCUUUUAGAGGCAGGGUGUCACGGAGUUGCUUAGCACCUUGCCCUUGCUCAGGCUGGCUUUGAAUUCGUGAUUCUCCUGCCUCAACCUUCCAAGCUUCUGGGAUAACAGGCAGGUGCUACCACGCCUGGCCAACCCUCUAUUCUUAUAUUAACCCAUUUGGUCCCAUCAUCCCAGACGUAGAAUGUCUAUAAAAACUUAAAUAUAGUAUACAAUAAUAAUACAAUUACUUUAUACCGUAAUAAUUAAAAUAUAUUAAUUAAGGUCAAUCAAAUAAUAAUAUACAUAGGCUCUAGAUUAUUAUUUCCAACCUAUUUUAAUACACCAGCAUCAAUUUCACUGAAAUAUUCACAGAAUUGAAAACUUGGGACUUAAUGGGUUAAAUGAUCAUUGAUCUCAGAUUUAAUGAGAUCUGAAAGGUACGGUGUUUAACCCAUAUUGGGUUAGAACCCUGACCAUGCCUCUUAAUAGGAGACCUUGGAUAAGAUAUGUAACCUCUGAGCUUCAAUUUUCUAGUCUAAAUAAUAGGAUAAUAAAAUAAUACACUUCAGAGUAGACAAUGAGAAUUAAGCCAGUAGCGUAGUGGUACACAGCCAGUGCUCCAUAAAUGCAGCUGCUGUGAUUGUCGCAAUAGUCUCCCAUGGCCUGGACAAGGCACCAGCCUUCCUUCCCACCUGCCUCUUAUCCCAGCUACCUACCGCGGGCUGGUGCACAGCUCCUUGAGGCAGGGGAAGGUGUGGAUGGUGCGCCUGCGUUCCCGCUUCUCCCGGCGCACGCGCAGCUGCUCCAGGUCGCGCAGCUGCUCUACCUGGGCCUGCAGCUCCUCCACCUGGGCCUGCAGGCGCUCGAUCGUCUCUGUCAACCUGGCGUGGGGUGGACACAUACAUAGGAAAAGUUUUAAAGGGAUGGGGUGGCCCUCACUGCAGCCCUGGAUCCCUGCAGAUGGAGGGACAUGGGGUUGGGCACUGACAGGUCACUUUGAACCUUGCUCCUUGGUGCUGAGGUCAGAUGGGGAACUGUCUGCAUCCCAGAGGAGACGCCCUUUCUCACACCUCCCAGGCCAAGCUGAUCACUCUGAGCUACCCUAGUUCCUUGUACAGGCCUCUGUCACUUAUCAUCCUGCUCCACAGUACGAUAUUUACACAUCUGCCUCCCCCCCCCCCAGCUGGGGACUCCAAGAGGCAAGACAGUGUACCCCACAACCUGUGUACCCCGCCGUGGUAUCCCCAGAGUCUAAAACCCAGCCUGGUGCCUACUUGAUGCUUAAAGAAGGGUUGCAGGCCAAAUGUUAAACCAUGCAAGAUGGACGUGGACAAACUCACUACCAUCUGGGGCCCCUCGGCCUGGGCCUCCAGCCGCACCAGCCCCUGUGCCCUCGUGCUCCCAGCCCUGGGCCUCUCCCUCACCCGCAGCCUCAGCCCAGCCCUCACCCAUGGAUCUUCUGCUGGGCGGCCUUACUAUCCAGCACCAGCCUCUGGUUGGUCAGCUCCAGGUCCCGGGCUGUCAGGUCCAGCUGCUCAUACACUUUGGCGUGCUGCUCGUUCACGUGCCGCAGUGUGUCCAGCUGCUUGGUCAGGUACUAGGGGAGAGGGGGAAGUUGGAGCCGACUUUUAGAGCAGGGCAGGGGGAAGUGUCUGUCUUUGCAUUCCUCCCCACCCUAGGUACAGUUUUGUUUGGAGGUAUUUGUCUUCAGUUGAGUAGGCAUAGAGUCAGUGGAGCAACGGAGCUGCGUGGAAUAGUUGUGCAGGUUGUGAACUGCCCAAGGCUGUUGGACCAAGGCUGUGUCUGUUAAGAGGGUCCCUUUGGCAAAGUUGCACAAAGACAUACCCUUGAUGGCGGAGGAAAGCAUGUCCAGGGCCCGAGGCCCCUUACCUCGAUCUCCUGCACUUGCUCCUCGUUGGUGGAGUACAUCUGCUGCAGGGACUCCUCCAGUUCCUUGUUCCUCUCCAGCAGGGUCUUCCCCAGCUCUGCGGCCAGGUGCAAGUCUGGGGAGGUGGAGGGCGGGGAACACAGCAGUGUGAGAGAGGGCCGCCAUUCACCUCUCUCACUCAUUCUGGGCUGGGUCCCAGAACUCCAAGGCCACCACAACACAGACUGCCCUAAGGGAGUCUCAUGGAGGCCAGGAGCUAAGUCUUGCAUUGCUGCCACUUACAUCUUAAAUGUCCUUUCCUCAGACAUACCCUGUGUCCUCCUUCAAGUCUGUGCUUAGUCACCUUCUGGCGGGGGUGGGGGGGUGUCUUUCCGCAAACACGUGAUUUCAAGUCACAGCCUCCCUUGCCCCACAAUCUCUCCUCCACUUAAUUUUUCUCUUUAGCAUCAUCUAACUUACCAAACAAGAUGCUCAUUGAUCUAGUUCAUUUCUGCUACUGAUUUUGAACUUAUGAGACAGGAAUUUUUAAAAUUGACUAUCUCCAGACAACACCUGGUACAGAGCAAGUGCACAACAAAUUUUUUUCAAAAGAACGAGUAAUUGAAAUAUGCUAAGUGCAUUUCUUUUCCUUUUUUUUUUGGUGCUGGGAAUUUAAACCCAGGGGUGCUUUACCACUGAGUUACAUCCUCAGGCCUUUUUCUUUCUUUUUUUUUUGUUUUGUUUUGAGACAGGGUGUUGCUAUGCUGUUAAGGUUCUUGCUAAGUUGCUGAGGCUGGCCUUGACUUGCAAUCCUCCAGUCUCAACCUCUUGAGUAGGUGGGACUACAGGCAUGCACCAUCAUGCCUGUACCAAAUGCAUAGAUAAACAUAGGGGCAAAGUGCCCUGGGACAACAGGUAAGAGAGCUUCACUGUUCCUGGGGAUGGAAGGAGGCUCAGACAAAUGGGCCACUUUCAGGUUUUCUGUUUUGUUUGGUACUGGGGUUUGAAUCCAGGGCCUUAUGUAUGCUAGGCAAGUCAGUUGGGUUUUGAAGGGUGAGUAGGAACUUCCUGAGAUGCAGAGAGGACAGGCUACUGGAUUUGGGUGAAGAUUCAGAAUUUCUUUUUUCUUUUGGUACUGAGGAUUGAACCCAGGGGUGCUUAACCACUGACCAACAUCCUCAGCCCUUUUUUACAUUUUACUUAGAGACAGGGUCUCAUUGAGUUGCUUAUGGCCUUGCUAAGUUGCUGAGGCUAGCUUUGAACUCAUAAUCCUCCUGCCUCAGCCUCCUGAGCCACUAGGAUUACAGGUGUGCACCACCACACCUGGUGUAAGAUUCAGAAUUCUUUGGUCUAACUUUUUCAUUUUAUGGAUGACAGGUAGGAGAGGGAAGAGUGACUUGCUCAAGGUCAUGAGCUGAUUUCAAGUGUCCUUACCCUAAUUGGUUACCAUGUGCUAGUGGCACAUGCCCCUCUCUUAAACCUUUUCCUUUUUCCCUGGGCAGCAAAAAUAUCCUCUUUCCCCAGCAGCCCUGGUUCUUGAACCUUGCUGGUAGAAAUAACCUCCCCUCUUCUUGCCCAGGUAAAUGAGCGCUAUCAGAGAGGCUGGAGAAGUUUGUCCUCUUUUUACGGGGAUGUGUAUAAGGUGAAUAAAAGAAAGUGGCAGUUACAGAAAUCCCUAAAAAUUUUUCUUAUGGAGUGUAUACCAUCCUAGAUAUUUGGAGUGUAUACCAUCCUGCCCCCACAAAUAAAUAUACUAAAUAUAUUUAUCAUUUUCAUUUCUAGAAAAAGACAGAAGGAUGAAACUAUUCUAAAAUGGAUUGCGGUAAUAGAUGCACAAAUCUUUGAACAGACUAAAAGUCACUGAAUUGUAUGCUUUCAAUGAGUGGAUUGUAUGGUGUAUUAUGCAAUAAAGCUGUUUAAAAAAAUUUUUUUAGGCAGCUUAAUCAGGAGACCAAGAUUGAUGGAAGAGAGUAAAUCGUUAAAGAGGUCCUUAAAGCAAGCUCAGGUUGUUUCAAAUGACUGUUUUCUUUCUAAAAUAGUUUCAAUGUUUUUCUUUCUUUCUUUUUUUUUAAACAUAUUUAUUUAUUUAGUUAGUUAGUUAUUGGCAGACACAACAUCUUUGUUGGUAUGUGGUGCUGAGGAUCGAACUCGGGCCGCACACAUGCCAGACGAGCGUGCUACCACUUGAGCCACAUCCCCAGCCCCAAUGUUUUUCUUUCUUUCUUUUUUCCAGUGUUUUUCUUAAGGCAUGCUUGGUGCAAAAUAAAUAAAUAGAACAGUACAGAAAGGUAAAAAAAGGUGAUUAAAAAAAUUACUUGAAAUAUACUUCAUUUGUAUGCUCUUAGAUUUAUGCCUUGGAAUACUACAAACAAAUGGAUGACCCAAGAUGGUUAUGAAAGAAGAAUGUCAUUUGCUAGUAAUUAAAAUUACACUUUGUGUGCAUGAGGAGGAAGGAGAAGAAGAAUGGAGUGGGAGAAAAAAGAGAAUGUACCAGAUAAAAGUGCUCUCACCAUCCUCCCAAACAGUUCUCUGUGCUUAAAAUAUGUAUAGAUACAGUUUUAUGUGAACAGAGUCAUAUUUUUUCUGUUCCUGCCUUUCUCAUUUAACCAUAAGGCAGGGGAGCUUUCCAAGUCAAUAUAGACUAACACGAGCAUUUAAAGAAGAUAUGGAAUAUUUUAUUGUAUAUAUGCUCCUAAGCAGCUGUCCCUAAAUAGUCCUUAUUGUUGGACCUUUAGGAUGUCUUCAAUUUUUUCUCUAUUUAAAGUGAAAUGAGCCAGCUGUGGUGGCGCAUGCCUGUAUUCCCAGAAGCUUGGGAGGCUGAGGUAGGAGGAUCACAAGUUCAGCCUUAGAGAGACCCUGUUUUAAAACAAAAAAAAAAAUAUUAAAGGUCUGGGCAUGUGGCUCAGUGGUUAAAUGUACCAGGGUUUAAUCCCUGCUACCAAAAAAAAAAAAAAGAAGAAGAAAAAAAGAAAUGGGUGUUAACUUUUCAUAUAAAAUCUUUGUGCAAAUCACUGCCUAUUUCUUUAGGACACUUUCCUGGAAACAGAAUUGCUGGGACAAAAUGGAGGCCUUUUUGAUUCAUUCGGCCUAAAGCAGAAAGCUUUAGUCUUUUUUACAUUAUGAUGUUUCUGAAAACAGUCCUCAAUCUAGGCUGAUGGCAUAGAUCUGGUGCAAAAUGCGUAAGGCAGCUCCACUGGGGCCGAGAUGGUGUGGUUUGGGGACUCAGCUCAUUAAUGCUUCCCUUCUUAGGCACAGUGAUAGCUCUGGGGUCCCUAGGGGGUGGAGGGGCUUUUAUUCCCUGCUGGCAGGUUUCCACUGAGCCCUGUGGUAUGCAGUGGACAGGCCUGGCCUGGUGGCCUCCUCUUGGAUAAGCCUGGAGAGCAGAAACUAGGGCUGGGAAGCUGAGAGCAGAGCCUGCGACUCACUUCCCACCAAUCUGGGUGAAAGCCAGAGGGGCCCGACCAGCCAUUGGCCUGCAUGAAAGACCAAGCUGCCCUUCAGGAACAAGUCCAGAGGAGAGGUUUUGAAACAGCCAGAGUGGAGCCCCCGUGGCAGGGCCUAAACCUGGAGAGGGCCCCACCUGAAGAUGUCCUCUGGGAAGCAGAGAACAGCUGCUGCCCUAAAGCCAGGCUGCAAUGGCAUAGUCCAGAGAAAGAAAAGCAGCUUUCCCUAAGAAAACUAAGCUAAAUUAUAUAAAUCAUAGAUAAGAACAUUUAGCCUUGAGCAAUUAACUUGCUUCUGAGGAUGCCAAGAAGAGUGGUUACCUAAUAUAAACUGGUAAGGGAACAAGAACACGUGCUGUAGUAAUUGAUAAACUGUAACUUGAGCAAAAGUCUGGAGGUGUUUACAAGGCGUGAAGUUUGAUGUAGUGAUUGGAGAACUACUGCCUUGUGUUAAGUCAUGUGCUUGGUAGGAGGUGGGAUCCCAGCGAGACCGCCCCAAGGUGGGGUGACAGUUAAUUUCUGAAAUGGGAUGGCAAGCAUUCAGCUCACCCCUGCGUGGUAGCAAGUAAUUCGGGUAUAAAUGCAAUAGAACAGAAGGCCUUCCUCCUAAAUGUCUCCCGCCUUGGAACUAUCUAUCGUUCUGUGAACAGGCCAUUGCUCUUAAUACCAGCUCUGCAUGGAGCUGCUGCAGCUGAACCAGAAUCCACAGCAUCAGAAGGGGGGUGAAGAAGAAAGGCCAUGUGCAGGUGCUUGAGGCAGAGGGCAGAGGGAACACAGUGAAUCUAAAGACCUCGCCUGUCCCAAUCACCUCCUUCCACUGGGACAGAGAGCAUCAAAGUCAAACAGGAUCUCUGUGGUCACGCUGCUGGAGAGUGAAGUCAGGACUUGCCCUGGGGCAUGGGAAACAGGCAUGGAAGGAGAGGUGGCUGAUGAGAAAACUAUUCCCAGGCCACUGCAGGCCAACAGGGAGCAACUCGGAAGAAGAGAGUUCAGGAACUGGGAGUAGGGAAGGAGGAAAGGGCCCCUGACCCCCAUGUGGCUGCUCUUUGGCUGGCCACCCUGCUCCACAUUCAGCUCUCUGUGUGCCCUUAGGGGGCAGGAAGGGGGCUAUCGCUCCAGUAGCUGCACCCAGGACUUCCUCUGUCCCCCACCCCACUUGCUUGUCUUUUUACAAGCCUCCAAGCCUUGGUACUAGCAUCCCUUCUCCCUAGAAUGCCUUCCCCUUCCUUCCUUCACUUCCUGGCUCAAAGGAGCUUUGGCAUAAACCUU